CCUACGGGGUGCAGCAGUGAGGAAUAUUGGUCAAUGGGCGCGAGCCUGAACCAGCCAAGUCGCGUGAGGGAAGACGGUCCUAUGGAUUGUAAACCUCUUUUGUCGGGGAGCAAAAGACGCCACGCGUGGCGUUCCGAGCGUACCCGACGAACAAGCAUCGGCUUACUCCGUGCCAGCAGCCGCGGUAAUACGGGGGAUUCGAGCGUUAUCCGGAUUUAUUGGGUUUAAAGGGUUCGCAGGCGGAAGAGCCAGUCAGCGGUAGAAUGGAGAGGCUCAACCUCUUCGAGCACUUGAAACUGGGUUUCUUGAGUGAGCGAGAAGUAUGCGGAAUGCGUGGUGUAGCGGUGAAAUGCAUAGAUAUCACGCAGAACUCCGAUUGCGAAGGCAGCUUACUAAACUGCAACUGACAUUGAUGCUCGAAAGUGUGGGUAUCAAACAGGAUUAGAUACCCCAGUAGUC
This 459-nucleotide ribosomal RNA is filed under the name uncultured bacterium. RNAcentral's name for it is "partial 16S ribosomal RNA". It matches the Rfam family "Bacterial small subunit ribosomal RNA", at positions 338 to 795 of the family's 1533-position model. The record is from RNAcentral.